AACGAACGCUGGCGGCAUGCCUAGUACAUGCAAGUCGAACGAUCACUUCGGUGGUAGUGGCGCACGGGUGCGUAACGCGUGGGAAUCUGCCCUUGGGUUCGGAAUAACGUCGGGAAACUGACGCUAAUACCGGAUGAUGACGUAAGUGCAAAGAUUUAUCGCCCAGGGAUGAGCCCGCGUAGGAUUAGCUAGUUGGUGGGGUAAAGGCCUACCAAGGCGACGGUCCUUAGCUGGUCUGAGAGGAUGCUCAGCCACACUUGGCAUGAGACGCGGCCCAGACUCCUACGGGAGGCAGCAGUAGGGAAUAUUGGACAAUGGGGGCAACCCUGAUCCAGCAAUGCCGCGUGAGUGAUGAAGGCCUUAGGGUUGUAAAGCUCUUUUACCCGGGAUGAUAAUGACAGUACCGGGAGAAUAAGCCCCGGCUAACUCCGUGCCAGCAGCCGCGGUAA
RNAcentral lists this ribosomal RNA (449 nucleotides) under uncultured bacterium. RNAcentral's name for it is "partial 16S ribosomal RNA". It matches the Rfam family "Bacterial small subunit ribosomal RNA", at positions 29 to 523 of the family's 1533-position model. The record is from RNAcentral.